This 498-nucleotide ribosomal RNA is filed under the name uncultured bacterium. RNAcentral describes it as "partial 16S ribosomal RNA". It matches the Rfam family "Bacterial small subunit ribosomal RNA", at positions 28 to 507 of the family's 1533-position model. The record is from RNAcentral.
GACGAACGCUGGCGGCGUGCCUAAUGCAUGCAAGUCGAGCGGACGGAUGGGAGCUUGCUCCCAGACCGUCAGCGGCGGACGGGUGAGUAACACGUGGGCAACCUGCCUGUAAGGCUGGGAUAACUCCGGGAAACCGGGGCUAAUACCGGAUAACUCUUUCCCUCACAUGAGGGAAAGCUGAAAGAUGGCAUCUCGCUAUCACUUACAGAUGGGCCCGCGGCGCAUUAGCUAGUUGGUGAGGUAACGGCUCACCAAGGCGACGAUGCGUAGCCGACCUGAGAGGGUGAUCGGCCACACUGGGACUGAGACACGGCCCAGACUCCUACGGGAGGCAGCAGUAGGGAAUCUUCCGCAAUGGACGAAAGUCUGACGGAGCAACGCCGCGUGAGUGAUGAAGGUUUUCGGAUCGUAAAACUCUGUUGUCAGGGAAGAACAAGUACCGGAGUAACUGCCGGUACCUUGACGGUACCUGACCAGAAAGCCACGGCUAACUACGUG